RNAcentral lists this ribosomal RNA (300 nucleotides) under uncultured Halorubellus sp. RNAcentral describes it as "bacterial SSU rRNA". It matches the Rfam family "Bacterial small subunit ribosomal RNA", at positions 496 to 795 of the family's 1533-position model. The record is from RNAcentral. Lineage: Archaea; Methanobacteriati; Methanobacteriota; Halobacteria; Halobacteriales; Halorubellaceae.
GCUAUCGCCGUGCCAGCUGGCGCGGUAAGGCGGAGGAUCCGAGCGUUAUCCGGUUGUAGUGGGUUUAAAGGGUGGUCAGGCGGGAGAUUAAGUCGGCGGUGAAAUUUUGCAGCUCAACUGUAAAAGUGCCUUCGAAACUGGUUUCCUUGAGUGUAGAUGAAGUAGGCGGAAUUUGUGGUGUAGCGGUGAAAUGCAUAGAUAUCACGAGGAACUCCGAUUGCGCAGGCAGCUUACUAAACUACUACUGACGCUCAGGCACGAAGGCGUGGGGAUCAAACAGGAUUAGAUACCCCAGUAGUC